UGCGUAGGCGGAACUUUAAGUCAGUGGUGAAAUCCUGCGGCUCAACCGUAGAACUGCCAUUGAUACUGAUGUUCUUGAAUGCAGUUGAGGUAGGCGGAAUGUGUAAUGUAGCGGUGAAAUGCUUAGAUAUUACACAGAACACCGAUUGCGAAGGCAGCUUGCUAAACUGUGAUUGACGCUGAUGCACGAAAGCGUGGGGAGCGAACAGGAUUAGAUACCCUGGGUAGUCC
RNAcentral lists this ribosomal RNA (230 nucleotides) under uncultured bacterium. RNAcentral describes it as "partial 16S ribosomal RNA". It matches the Rfam family "Bacterial small subunit ribosomal RNA", at positions 568 to 796 of the family's 1533-position model. The record is from RNAcentral.